AUGGCCAACUUCGCCGCCCAGCUCAAGGAUAGGUUUUUUGGCCUCGUCGACCGCGUCGCCGGCUGCGGCCGCGCCGGGGUCAGGGAGGAGGCCGCCAAGUCGGCGCCGGCGCCGGCCGUGCAGGAGAGUUAUAGUUGUGUAGCUAGAGAACUCACCGUGGUGCUCAUUACUCUUGCAGCAUGUCGAGAUUCGACCGAGAGGCCCCGGUGUGUCAGGAGGAUCGGAGGCGGGAGUCAAUUAGACACCGCAACUGCUACUCGCCCACAUUCUGAGAGUUGA
RNAcentral lists this ribosomal RNA (279 nucleotides) under Triticum aestivum (bread wheat). Its description in RNAcentral is "partial small subunit ribosomal RNA". Lineage: Eukaryota; Viridiplantae; Streptophyta; Magnoliopsida; Poales; Poaceae. The record is from RNAcentral.